RNAcentral lists this long non-coding RNA (1743 nucleotides) under Citrus sinensis (sweet orange). RNAcentral describes it as "long non-coding RNA (CSIN_LNC004780)". Lineage: Eukaryota; Viridiplantae; Streptophyta; Magnoliopsida; Sapindales; Rutaceae. The record is from RNAcentral.
UGUCUGUGUCUUCAUCUUCUACGUGCUUUGAAUUUUCUUAAAAUCGAACUCGUAUCCAGAAAAUGGAAACCCAUUACAAUAAAAUCAGUGUAUACAAAAAUAUAAUUGAUAUAUGGCAGUAACAGUAAAAAGAAACGGAAGCCAAGCAGCCGAUGCCCAGCAAAUUUUCUAGUAGACGACAAUGUCGGUUUUGAGAUACAGGACACAUUGUGCCGUCAUCCACUUACGACGACAUGUCGAUUGACUUGUGUAGUACCACAUACGACGUCCAGCUCACGACGGUUACAUGCAAGAAUGUGUUCAUCAUGUGCAAUCACUUGACACCUGAGCGUUAAAUAGGGAUGGCAAUUUACGGGUUUAGACCGGGCUUUUAAAGUCCAAGUCCAAGCCCAUAUUCUUGUUAAAAAGUCCAAGUCUUUUAAAAGCUCAUCCAAGUCUGAACAGACUGGGGCUGGACCGGACCUAAGCGGGCCUGGGCUGGGCUUAGGCCAGGCCUGGGCUUCUACUAAUUUUAAAAUAAAUUUUUAACAAAGUAAAAAAGGUAAAGUAAUCUUGAUUCAUUAGAACACCAACAAAAUUAUCAGUUUUCCCUAAAGAAAAAAAAAAAAAAAAAUUUAAAAAAUUUAAAAAAAAAAAAUUUAACAAAUUUAACAGCUGCUGCAGUCAAUCCUCAUCAAACAACAAUCCACCAAAAUCUAAAAAUUCCUAAUGAAAUAAACACUCAAUCCUCAUCCAACAACAAUUGAUAAAUUGAAAAGUACCAAAGUCGAGCACCUUAUAUCGAAAUAUACAUACCCAUCGCCAAAAACUUUGAAUACCCUAUUUACCUUGUAUUCCUUUUGUCAUUCAACAAUCCUGGACAUCAUCCUGAAGCAAAAAAACAAACUGAAAUACUGAAUCGAAAAUUCUAAUUGCCAAAAAGAACAAACCGAAAAACGAAGAUACUUACAACAAAUAUCAUAAUUUGGUCUUCUUAAAAGAUCUAAAUUGACAAUAACCAGUCUUCAAAACGAUCAAAGCAAGCAAACCCAUGGAAUCUAACACGAACUAAAUAAAAAACUCAGACCACCAAAUUUAAAAGCUAGCAUCUCACAAAAAAAUUAACAAAUUUAACAGUUGCUACCAAAAUUAAAGUCCUAAUCUAUUAAUCCCAACUCACAAAAAAGUAUUAAGGAAAAAAAAUUCAGGAUUAAGGAAAAAAAUUCACGAACAAUAAAAUAAAAAAAAAUCAAUCAACACAACUCAUCGGUGCAAUAGCAACGGAUGGUGAUGAGGUAAGGGGACAAAGACGGCUGAGAUGACGAGCUGCGGCCACUGGGUUCGCUGCUGCUGUUCGCGCUACUGGUGCUGGGUUCGCAGCUACAUCGCGCGCUGUGAAUCAGUGAUGGCAGGUGAAUCGAUGAUGGCUACAAUUGUUGGCAUUGGCCGUUGGGUGGGUUUGAGGUGAGCGUGUGCGUGUGUCGGCUGUUUCUUGGGUGUGUGCGUCGACUGAUCCAGUAUUUCUCUCUUCUGUUUGUCUUUUGAUUUAUGUCUAAUCUAGGGAAUUAGGGAUUUGGGGUUUUGAAUUUGUUUUUUUGAAUUUAUUUUUUAUUUAUAAGUGAAAAGCCCGGGCUCAAUCCCAGACUUUUUAAUCAGGCCCUUAACCAAGCCCAACUUAUAUAGGCUUUCUAUGUAUGAGCCCAUAUCCAUUAAUUUAUCACACAGGCCGGGCUGGCCCGGACUUGGGCCGGCUCGAGCUUUUUU